RNA transcript from Fragaria vesca subsp. vesca, 1108 nucleotides. RefSeq lists it as uncharacterized. Lineage: Eukaryota; Viridiplantae; Streptophyta; Magnoliopsida; Rosales; Rosaceae. The transcript is spliced from 2 exons. The record is from RefSeq and is a predicted model, not a curated record.
ACCAUUCAACGCCUCCUCGUUCCUUAACCACCCUCUCCUUCUCCUCCAGAUCUAGUCUCGAUGGAUUGUUCUCUGAGCAAAUCGUCUUCAAAUUCGAUGACAUCGUUUCGAGAUCUACGUGUUGAUGGUGGUUUUGGGCUCUGAAGCUUUUGUAAUCAUCUCAACGCUUUUUCAGCUGGUGUUCUUCAUGAUUCUAUAUAGAUUCUCAGCUAUGGCGAAGGAGCUAACCUCAGAUCCAGAUGGAUCCCACGUCUUGGAGCUUUCGUUGAGGAGGCGAUGUCGUUUUCAAUUCAGAUCUGAUAUUUCCGGUGGCUAAAGGAGGCUGGAGUUCAUGGAAAUCGGUUAUUCGGUGUGUAUAAUUGUAAAUUCUUGAAUUGGAAGAUAUCUGAAGAUAGCGAGGAGCUUUAGGUGUGAUUGUUGAUAUGGAUGUAUAAGAUAUCGGCUAGGAUUGGCUCAGUUGAUGGGUCUGAGUCCUGGACCGAUCUUUGUCAUCCGGCCUUUGCCAUGGCAGGUGCGCUUGCAUGGCAGGUCAAAAAAAUUAAUAAAAAAGAGGGUUUUGGUGGUUCGGAGGGGAAGACAGCAUGGGAGUUUUUUUCUUUGUGCCCAGGGUCUUCUCCUCCGGUGUGUGCUCUGUGUCCUGCUUUCUUUAUUCUGCUUUAUAUUUGCCUGCCUGCAAAUCACACUCGGAUUCUGGUCAUCAGCAACAGCAAUACUCAGUCACCAACGAAGGUAUUAUGCACCUAAUUCUAUACUCUAUGCAUAUCUGCCCGGUUACAGGUUCAUAGUAAUGCUCAAUUGAUCCUUUGAUACUCCAUAUGUGAACGGUUGCAUAGCGAGUACUUCGUAUAAUAAUGCUAGUUUAAUCUCGUUCACAAGGUAGUUCAUAUUUUGCUGGUUAUACAAAUUCAACUAUGCUUAGUGCUGAUCUACCUGGUUAUACAAGUCCAACUAGUCAUGGCUCUUAAUAAGUUUAAUUAGUCAUAUUGUUCUUAUCAUGCAAGUUCAACUAGUCCUGGUGCUUAUUAUACAGUUCAACUAGUCAUGUUAAAGACAUUGAAUUCAGUAUUUUUGGCAUACAUUAUAUAUAUAUGUGAACUUAGAAAAUUCC